CAGCAGCCACGGUAAUACGAAGGGUGCAAGCGUUACUCGGAAUUACUGGGCGUAAAGCGUGCGUAGGUGGUUGUUUAAGUCUGCUGUGAAAGCCCUGGGCUCAACCUGGGAAUUGCAGUGGAUACUGGGCGACUAGAGUAAGGUAGAGGAUAGUGGAAUUUCCGGUGUAGCAGUGAAAUGCGUAGAGAUCGGAAGGAACAUCUGUGGCGAAGGCGACUAUCUGGGCCAUUACUGACACUGAGGCACGAAAGCGUGGGGAGCAAACAGGAUUAGAUACCCGUGUAGUCCCUGUCUCUUAUAC
This 301-nucleotide ribosomal RNA is filed under the name uncultured bacterium. RNAcentral's name for it is "partial 16S ribosomal RNA". It matches the Rfam family "Bacterial small subunit ribosomal RNA", at positions 509 to 807 of the family's 1533-position model. The record is from RNAcentral.